Molecule: long non-coding RNA, 211 nt
Filed under: Elaeis guineensis (African oil palm)
Lineage: Eukaryota; Viridiplantae; Streptophyta; Magnoliopsida; Arecales; Arecaceae
Description: long non-coding RNA (EGUI_LNC075793)
Source: RNAcentral
AGCGAUCUACUCCGAGCUACUACUACAAGCGGUCUACUUCAAAUUUCUACUAUGAGCGAUCCGCAUCGAAUUUCUACUGUAAGCCUCCACCCGAGCUUCCCUUGUGAAUGAAUUCCUUCCGAACUUCUAUUGCAGGCAGGCUUCGGUCGAGCUUCCUCGACAAAUGAUCCCCAUUCGGACUUCUACGGGAACCAGACUCUGAUCGAACUUC